Molecule: ribosomal RNA, 578 nt
Filed under: uncultured bacterium
Lineage: Bacteria
Description: bacterial SSU rRNA
Rfam family: Bacterial small subunit ribosomal RNA
Source: RNAcentral
CCUACGGGAGGCAGCAGUGAGGAAUAUUGGUCAAUGGGCGAGAGCCUGAACCAGCCAAGUCGCGUGAAGGAUGACUGUCUUAUGGAUUGUAAACUUCUUUUAUACGGGAAUAACAAGAGUCACGUGUGACUCCCUGCAUGUACCGUAUGAAUAAGCAUCGGCUAACUCCGUGCCAGCAGCCGCGGUAAUACGGAGGAUGCGAGCGUUAUCCGGAUUUAUUGGGUUUAAAGGGUGCGUAGGCGGCCUGUUAAGUCAGCGGUGAAAUCUAGGAGCUUAACUCCUAAAUUGCCAUUGAUACUGGCGGGCUUGAGUGUAGAUGAGGUAGGCGGAAUGCGUGGUGUAGCGGUGGAAUGCAUAGAUAUCACGCAGAACUCCGAUUGCGAAGGCAGCUUACUAAGGUACAACUGACGCUGAAGCACGAAAGCGUGGGUAUCAAACAGGAUUAGAUACCCUGGUAGUCCACGCAGUAAACGAUGAUAACUGGGCGUAUGCGAUAUACAGUAUGCUCCUAAGCGAAAGCGUUAAGUUAUCCACCUGGGGAGUACGCCGGCAACGGUGAAACUCAAAGGAAUUGACGG